This 666-nucleotide ribosomal RNA is filed under the name Triticum aestivum (bread wheat). Its description in RNAcentral is "partial small subunit ribosomal RNA". Lineage: Eukaryota; Viridiplantae; Streptophyta; Magnoliopsida; Poales; Poaceae. The record is from RNAcentral.
AUGAAUGCUUUGGAGAGCAUAUUCCAGAAGCCUGAGCCAAACAUGAGCCAAAUGUUGAGUAUGAUGAAGCCACUGCCACAAGAUGCUGAAUAUCUAAAGGAGUUCUUUGUUGACGACCUGGAGUAUCUGCCCCGCACCAUCUAUCAUAUCAUAAGGCAAACUCUCUGGCCCGUCAAAGGACAUUCUCCUGCAGCGAAGCUUGAAGGAGCAAUGAAGACAUUGGUUUUCUAUCUCUCAAAUGGCAUCAACUUCAAUGCUCAGGAUUUCUUCAUCAAGAAACUUGCUGCAUCUAGCUCUGAUUUGUUUGGUCUGAAAUUUUAUGCUCCAUGUGUAAUGUGCCUCAUUAAGCUUCACUCUACUAUCAACUAUCAGCCCUCUGCGCGCAACCACCUUAUCUUCUUGCCAGAGGUUGAUAUGUCUGUAUAUGCCAUCUACCCUGAACCUGGCAAGGAGCCUAUAUAUCUUCACAAUGCAGAUCACCAAAGCUUCACUCAACCCAUUGAAGGAGUUCUUGCUGCCACUCGUCUUUAUCCCUUGGCUGGUAACACUCGUGCACCUCGUCGUGCAAACACUGAAGCCACUGAAAGCACCAUGGCUCAAAGGCCUCGGAAGCGCUCUCGCGCUCUCAAUGACCGAGAGCUUCUCGUGGCAUUGCAUCAGAAAUAG